This 477-nucleotide ribosomal RNA is filed under the name uncultured bacterium. RNAcentral's name for it is "partial 16S ribosomal RNA". It matches the Rfam family "Bacterial small subunit ribosomal RNA", at positions 30 to 507 of the family's 1533-position model. The record is from RNAcentral.
AUUGAACGCUGGCGGCAUGCCUUACACAUGCAAGUCGAACGGUAACAGGUUAAGCUGACGAGUGGCGAACGGGUGAGUAAUGUAUCGGAACGUGCCCAGUCGGGGGGGAUAACUGCUCGAAAGAGCAGCUAAUACCGCAUACGACCUGGGGGGAAAAGGGGGGGAUCGCAAGACCUCGCGCAAUUGGAGCGGCCGAUAUCAGAUUAGGUAGUUGGUGAGGUAAAGGCUCACCAAGCCGACGAUCUGUAGCUGGUCUGAGAGGACGACCAGCCACACUGGGACUGAGACACGGCCCAGACUCCUACGGGAGGCAGCAGUGGGGAAUUUUGGACAAUGGGCGCAAGCCUGAUCCAGCCAUGCCGCGUGCGGGAAGAAGGCCUUCGGGUUGUAAACCGCUUUUGUCAGGGAAGAAAAGGUUCUGGCUAAUACCUGGGACUCAUGACGGUACCUGAAGAAUAAGCACCGGCUAACUACGUG